AGACCCGAAACCCGGUGAUCUAGCCAUGGGCAGGUUGAAGGUUGGGUAACACUAACUGGAGGACCGAACCGACUAAUGUUGAAAAAUUAGCGGAUGACCUGUGGCUGGGGGUGAAAGGCCAAUCAAACCGGGAGAUAGCUGGUUCUCCCCGAAAGCUAUUUAGGUAGCGCCUCGUGAAUUCAUCUCCGGGGGUAGAGCACUGUUUCGGCUAGGGGGCCAUCCCGGCUUACCAACCCGAUGCAAACUGCGAAUACCGGAGAAUGUUAUCACGGGAGACACACGGCGGGUGCUAACGUCCGUCGUGAAGAGGGAAACAACCCAGACCGCCAGCUAAGGUCCCAAAGUCAUGGUUAAGUGGGAAACGAUGUGGGAAGGCCCAGACAGCCAGGAUGUUGGCUUAGAAGCAGCCAUCAUUUAAAGAAAGCGUAAUAGCUCACUGGUCGAGUCGGCCUGCGCGGAAGAUGUAACGGGGCUAAACCAUGCACCGAAGCUGCGGCAGCGAACGUAUCACCCAAGACAACUUUACGGAGUUGACGAUUGACGGAGCGAAGCGACGUCAAAGCGUUCAUUAAAGUCGAGUUGGCUUAGGGAUACGUUCGUUGGGUAGGGGAGCGUUCUGUAAGCCUGUGAAGGUGUGUCGUGAGGCAUGCUGGAGGUAUCAGAAGUGCGAAUGCUGACAUAAGUAACGAUAAAGCGGGUGAAAAGCCCGCUCGCCGGAAGACCAAGGGUUCCUGUCCAACGUUAAUCGGGGCAGGGUGAGUCGACCCCUAAGGCGAGGCCGAAAGGCGUAGUCGAUGGGAAACGGGUUAAUAUUCCCGUACUUGGUGUUACUGCGAAGGGGGGACGGAGAAGGCUAUGUUGGCCGGGCGACGGUUGUCCCGGUUUAAGCGUGUAGGUGUGUGUUCCAGGUAAAUCCGGUUCACUUUAACACUGAGGCGUGACGACGAGGCACUACGGUGCUGAAGCAACAAAUGCCCUGCUUCCAGGAAAAGCCUCUAAGCAUCAGGUAACAUCAAAUCGUACCCCAAACCGACACAGGUGGUCAGGUAGAGAAUACCAAGGCGCUUGAGAGAACUCGGGUGAAGGAACUAGGCAAAAUGGUGCCGUAACUUCGGGAGAAGGCACGCUGACACGUAGGUGAAGUGAUUUACUCAUGGAGCUGAAGUCAGUCGAAGAUACCAGCUGGCUGCAACUGUUUAUUAAAAACACAGCACUGUGCAAACACGAAAGUGGACGUAUACGGUGUGACGCCUGCCCGGUGCCGGAAGGUUAAUUGAUGGGGUCAGCGCAAGCGAAGCUCCUGAUCGAAGCCCCGGUAAACGGCGGCCGUAACUAUAACGGUCCUAAGGUAGCGAAAUUCCUUGUCGGGUAAGUUCCGACCUGCACGAAUGGCGUAAUGAUGGCCAGGCUGUCUCCACCCGAGACUCAGUGAAAUUGAACUCGCUGUGAAGAUGCAGUGUACCCGCGGCAAGACGGAAAGACCCCGUGAACCUUUACUAUAGCUUGACACUGAACAUUGAGCCUUGAUGUGUAGGAUAGGUGGGAGGCUUUGAAGUGUGGACGCCAGUCUGCAUGGAGCCGACCUUGAAAUACCACCCUUUAAUGUUUGAUGUUCUAACGUGGACCCGUAAUCCGGGUUGCGGACAGUGUCUGGUGGGUAGUUUGACUGGGGCGGUCUCCUCCUAAAGAGUAACGGAGGAGCACGAAGGUUGGCUAAUCCUGGUCGGACAUCAGGAGGUUAGUGCAAUGGCAUAAGCCAGCUUGACUGCGAGCGUGACGGCGCGAGCAGGUGCGAAAGCAGGUCAUAGUGAUCCGGUGGUUCUGAAUGGAAGGGCCAUCGCUCAACGGAUAAAAGGUACUCCGGGGAUAACAGGCUGAUACCGCCCAAGAGUUCAUAUCGACGGCGGUGUUUGGCACCUCGAUGUCGGCUCAUCACAUCCUGGGGCUGAAGUAGGUCCCAAGGGUAUGGCUGUUCGCCAUUUAAAGUGGUACGCGAGCUGGGUUUAGAACGUCGUGAGACAGUUCGGUCCCUAUCUGCCGUGGGCGCUGGAGAACUGAGGGGGGCUGCUCCUAGUACGAGAGGACCGGAGUGGACGCAUCACUGGUGUUCGGGUUGUCAUGCCAAUGGCACUGCCCGGUAGCUAAAUGCGGAAGAGAUAAGUGCUGAAAGCAUCUAAGCACGAAACUUGCCCCGAGAUG
This 2199-nucleotide ribosomal RNA is filed under the name Salmonella enterica subsp. enterica serovar Typhimurium. Its description in RNAcentral is "partial 23S ribosomal RNA". It matches the Rfam family "Bacterial large subunit ribosomal RNA", at positions 711 to 2806 of the family's 2925-position model. The record is from RNAcentral. Lineage: Bacteria; Pseudomonadati; Pseudomonadota; Gammaproteobacteria; Enterobacterales; Enterobacteriaceae.